RNAcentral lists this long non-coding RNA (499 nucleotides) under Equus caballus (horse). Its description in RNAcentral is "lncRNA (ENSECAG00000052718.1)". Lineage: Eukaryota; Metazoa; Chordata; Mammalia; Perissodactyla; Equidae. The record is from RNAcentral.
CUGGCUCCAGUUUCUUCCUAGGUUUCUGAUAUUGUCUUUCCUAAGCAUUUUCUGCUGAAAUGAAGGCCUUCUCAGCAUCUAAACCCAGGCUGCUAUGCUACUAUAGGAAGUCCCACAACUGGUCAGACUGUUGUCUCCAUAAAAGGAUGGCCAUCAUCUUCAGCUGCGCUCUUGAAAUGGAACUGCCUGGCAAGCUUCUAUGUUUCCCUGACACUGAACUCAUCAUUAUUGUCAGCAUCAGUCAUCAUGGUGAGUCACCAUUAUUACCAUCAGAGCCAAGCAAAAAUAUUCGGGACUCAUGCCAUCCUCUUGAGAAGUUGCUUCCAUAGAGAACAUCUGUAGGGUUCCAGAAGAAUGCAGUCCAUGUUUACAACGGUUGGAGACUUGACCUCAAUCUGAAGUUACUCUUCCCUUCCUCACCGCCCUACCAACAAAAGGAGAAUGGAAUGUGAUUCUCUCCCCAGCUCCACACAUGUGGCAGGCAGAGGCAGUGGUAGGA